RNAcentral lists this long non-coding RNA (642 nucleotides) under Equus asinus (donkey). RNAcentral's name for it is "lncRNA (ENSEASG00005028394.1)". Lineage: Eukaryota; Metazoa; Chordata; Mammalia; Perissodactyla; Equidae. The record is from RNAcentral.
UUUACAGGAAGUACAGAGGACAGAGGAACGUGCUAAACAUCACAAUGAAGACGCAACCAGCUAAGACCAGAACAUGGAACUUCUGCAGGCCAAAUACCCUGAUUUCUUCAACACAUGAAUGGCGUUUUCUGAAAUUUCAUAUUGGAAAGAAAAAAAAGAAGAAAUCCUGAUUUCAUGAUGCCAUCUUCAAACUUCCUUUUUUAAUUACAGUAUACAUUUCCAUUACGUUAUUUCCGCCCUGGACCUGAUUUCUCUGAAAGUAAGAAGCCCUUCUCUGAAGCUACCUGGGACAAAUACAAGAAAGAAGAAGUCUAAAACUAUCACAUCGGUUCCAUUUCAACCAUCUAAUGAUGGUAAACAGAACUGAGAGCUAGACCCUAGGUGGGCAGUGGCAUGAAAUCCACUUCUCUGUCUCUCUCUCGAGGAUAUUUUCGUGAACAAGGGCAUGUGGACUGGCCCAGAGCCUGACUUGGGAGUGAACUGGUUAUGUUAAGACCUGUUUUUACUCAAACUUUGUCAGCCAUUCAGGCUUCUGGUAUAUUCACUCUUUCCCUCUUGUUAUCUCUUUAUUAUUCAGUAGAGUCUUAAAAUUUCAGUCAGUGUCAAUUAUUCUAAGGAAAUUAAUUCAUCCAGUUACUGAUU